CCUACGGGUGGCAGCAGUGAGGAAUAUUGGUCAAUGGACGAGAGUCUGAACCAGCCAAGUAGCGUGAAGGAUGACUGCACUAUGGGUUGUAAACUUCUUUUAUAUGGGAAUAAAAUGUUCCACGUGUGGGCUUUUGUAUGUACCAUAUGAAUAAGGAUCGGCUAACUCCGUGCCAGCAGCCGCGGUAAUACGGAGGAUCCGAGCGUUAUCCGGAUUUAUUGGGUUUAAAGGGAGCGUAGGUGGAUUGUUAAGUCAGUUGUGAAAGUUUGCGGCUCAACCGUAAAAUUGCAGUUGAAACUGGCAGUCUUGAGUACAGUAGAGGUGGGCGGAAUUCGUGGUGUAGCGGUGAAAUGCUUAGAUAUCGCGAAGAACUCCGAUUGCGAAGGCAGCUCACUGGACUGCAACUGACACUGAGGCUCGAAAGUGUGGGUAUCAAACAGGAUUAGAUACCCUUGUAGUC
RNAcentral lists this ribosomal RNA (460 nucleotides) under uncultured bacterium. RNAcentral's name for it is "partial 16S ribosomal RNA". It matches the Rfam family "Bacterial small subunit ribosomal RNA", at positions 338 to 795 of the family's 1533-position model. The record is from RNAcentral.